AUGAGGCAGCAGGGUAUGAAAGCUGAGGUGGUUAAUGGGGACAGGGAGAGGCUAUGGGGCACACAGUAUCUGGGGCAGGUGGAGGUCUGUGGGGUCAGGCUAAGGUGGAGUAGGGUGUGCAGGAGCUCUACUUCCAAGCUGAGCAGGGUAGCAGCUGGUCCAACUGUGUGUGCCCACAGGAAAUCAGAGACGCUGGAGGCCUUCCAGGCUCUGGAGGAGGGCCGUGUGGAGCGGCUCGAUGGCAAGACACCAGUGCCACCCAGCAAAGGCCACCUAACUCGGAGGCGAUCCAGCCCCAACCUGCCCAGGGAGGGUCAGCGACUCUCCUGGCAGCUCGAGCAGCGCAGCAGAGACCCCAAGGAGCGCCGGCGUUCCCCCAGCCCAGCUCAGCACCCCGAGAAGGCCAGCAGGACCCGGGGGGACUCCCCACGCCCUGCCAGCCCUGGCUGGCUGCUGGAGAGAGGCAGCCAAAGCCCACGCUCUGCAAGCCCAGCCCGCAGGUCGGAGAGGAGAGCAGGGGAGCCCGUGAACCCUCCCUGUCGCACUGAGAAAAGCUGGAGAAGUCGAGGGGAGCCUGCCCGCCCCCCAAACUCGAACAGGGGCCGAGCCACCUGGCAAGCAGGGGGUAUACGGCAAACACUGGAGAAGAAGAGCCAAGGGGAUUCCCUGCGCUCCACAGGUGCUGGGAAGCGCUCAGAUAAUGUCAGACUGAGCCGGGCAGCGCCACCACCAUGGGCCCUCAGUCCUGGGAGACGUACAGAGAGCACAAGGAAAAGCCAAAAGGAGAUGUCCCCUCCCAGCUUGGUGCGGGGGGCAGAGAGGCAACGAGUGAAGCCAGGGGAGCCACUGCACCUUGCAGGGCCGAGGAAGCCACCCGAAUGCAGCUGGCAGAGCCUCCGGGAAAAGCUGACAUCCUCCCAGCCUGGAAAGGGCACCAGCAGUGACUGCAAAGGCCGAGGCAAGCCCCUGCGCCCCACAAGCCCAACACGACCCCAGGAGCAGGACUGGAGGGGCCGGGGGGAUGCCCACCAAGCACAGGUGUGGGAGAAGGACUGGAAGCGCCAAGAGAUUCCCGUGUGCCAUGCAGGUGUGAUGCGCCAGCUGGAAAGGGACUGGAAAAGCCCUGCUAGAUGUCUGGAUGUGGGACUACGGCCGGAUGACAGCUGGAUAAGGCCUGAGAGUCCAGUACAGGAUCUGGAGGAGAACUGGAACGGUCAUGAGCAUGCACGAGAUACACACAGCCCUGAGAAGCCAUUGGAAACUGACUGGGGGAACAAGAGUCUUCUCAUUUACCAUCCCCAGCUGGGUGGAAGCACCUUCCCACUGCAAAGCAGCACUGGCUCCUCAGGAAGCCCGCAGCCACAUUUGAAUGUCAGUAAGAAGCGCAACAAGGUAGGGGCCAGGCCCUGGGAAUUGUGAGGAUGGGCAGCUGCCCUUCUGUGGGGGUCACUGUGGGCAGGACCUAGGUCCCCAGGACUUGAUCUGAGCAGGUCCAGCAUGGUGCUGCCAUCCCGUGAUGCCCUGAACACCAUGCUCACUAACACUCCCCAUCACUUUGUCCUUCACCCAUUUCUCAGGUGGGGAAACUGAGGCACGGAGCCUUUUUAUAAAGCCAGAGGAGGGCAAACAGUAGACCUGGGACUGAAAUCUCAGUACAGCUACUUUCCUUUGCUUUAUUAUUGGCCAGUGCUGCGAUGGCACAGAGGGUUUUACAGGGAUGAAGUGGGCUUUAGUGGUGUGAAAGAAGAUAUAGUGUAUUGUGUUGGCAUUCCUGUAAAAUGGCAUUUUGCAGCAGCUAUGGGGGGCUGCAGAAAGUAUUCCGGGAGCCCGUGUAGCAGGCAGCUGCACACAAGUUCCUGCCUCUGUCCCCCACUGUGCACAUCAGUCAUCUCAGCCAGGUCAUCCUCUGCUAGGACCUGGCUUUGUUCUUUAUACAAGGACAAACUGCAGCCAGGAAAGAGGCUGUCAAAGGCCUCUGAAACUUGAAACGGGUGACAUCCUUUCACUCCCUUCCCUGCAUCAGGCCAGAGAGGAGUCCAAAGCCCUGAACUCACCCCGUACAACUGGGCCAGAUCGCCCCACCUGUGCCAUGUUUCUUUCUGUGCCAGCACUGAGCUCUGGCACCUUCCUUUUGCCUUGCGGUAAAAAGCAUCACCUUGGUGUGAUUGCACAGUAGAGCCUGGCAUGUUGUGAUGCACAGCCCCUCUUCCCUUUUCCUUUGGGACCCUCUCUAGCAAUUCCCUUUCUCGAGGCCAGCUGGCGUGGCAUUCCAGGGGCACCAGAAGUCUCCCCAUGACCUCCUACCACCCCUGCCACAAGCCCAGAGAUGUGCAGUUGGUUGGACAAAAGCGAGCAACCCGAGGAGCCAAGGCGAGGACUCCAUUGUGUGCGCUGCUGAAAAUCCCUGCCAGCGAAAAAUCCCAGCCGGAGAGAGCAAACCCUGCCUGGAUAAGGGCUGGGCUCCUGGCAGUCCCUUCCUGAGGCAGCAGCGGCUGAACCCGUCCCUCCCAGGGCUUCACCUUUUCCCGGGCCAGCGGGGCGGGAAGGGGACACGGCUCAGCCCCAGCAUCGUCCCCGUCCCGUCCC
Long non-coding RNA from Catharus ustulatus (Swainson's thrush), 2586 nucleotides. Lineage: Eukaryota; Metazoa; Chordata; Aves; Passeriformes; Turdidae. The record is from Ensembl.